This 158-nucleotide unclassified non-coding RNA is filed under the name uncultured Penidiella. RNAcentral describes it as "sequence contains ITS2". The record is from RNAcentral. Lineage: Eukaryota; Fungi; Ascomycota; Dothideomycetes; Capnodiales.
ACACCACUCAAGCCUCGUCUUGGUAUUGGGCGUCUCGCGGGGUCACACCCGCGCGCCUCGAAGUCUCCGGCCGAGCCGUCCGUCUCUAAGCGUUGUGGAAACAGUUUCGCUUGCGAGUGCGGGUUGGUUCGUCAGCCGAUUGAAGCCUUUCUUUCUAA